Molecule: ribosomal RNA, 492 nt
Filed under: uncultured bacterium
Lineage: Bacteria
Description: partial 16S ribosomal RNA
Rfam family: Bacterial small subunit ribosomal RNA
Source: RNAcentral
AGUGAACGCUGGCGGUAGGCCUAAUACAUGCAAGUCGAACGGCAGCACAGUAAGAGCUUGCCCUUACGGGUGGCGAGUGGCGGGCGGGUGAGGAAUACAUCGGAAUCUACUUUUUCGUGGGGGAUAAUGUAGGGAAACUUACGCUAAUACCGCAUACGACCUACGGGUGAAAGCAGGAGAUCUUCGGACCUUGCGCGAUUGAAUGAGCCGAUGUCGGAUUAGCUAGUUGGCGGGGUAAAGGCCCACCAAGGCGACGAUACGUAGCUGGUCUGAGAGGAUGAUCAGCCACACUGGAACUGAGACACGGUCCAGACUCCUACGGGAGGCAGCAGUAGGGAAUAUUGGACAAUGGGCGCAAGCCUGAUCCAGCCAUACCGCGUGGGUGAAGAAGGCCUUCGGGUUGUAAAGCCCUGUUGUUGGGAAAGAAAAGCAGCAGGUUAAUACCCCGCUGUUCUGACGGUACCCAAAGAAUAAGCAACGGCUAACUUCGUG